Long non-coding RNA from Cavia porcellus (domestic guinea pig), 2555 nucleotides. NCBI's taxonomy places the organism in Eukaryota, Metazoa, Chordata, Mammalia, Rodentia, Caviidae. The record is from Ensembl.
AUCCAUUCCUGCAUGACUUUACUCGUAAUCAUUGUUAUUCCAGACUACUCAAAGGAAUCCCUGGGUAGUGAAGAAGAAAGUGGGAAAGACUGGGAUGAACUGGAAGAAGAAGCCCGAAAAGCUGACCGUGAAAGUCGCUAUGAGGAAGAAGAGGAACAGAGUCGAAGUAUGAGCCGGAAGCGGAAGGCGUCUGUGCACAGUUCAGGCCGAGGCUCCAACCGGGGUUCUAGACACAGCUCUGCACCUCCCAAGAAAAAGAGGAAGUAACCCCUGGACUUUAGCUCUGAGCUCCACUCUUCCUCCAGCCAACUCCAGAAAAUUUUACAUGACAUAGAAACUGGGCUUUUUCCUUUCAUUUUCUUUGAAGUUUUGCCAUUUGUGUUUAUGGGUUUAGGGGGCCAUUUGUGUGGACCAAUCUACUCGGGGAAUCCAGGACCACCAGGACAUGCGUCAAUGGCCCCGUUCAGAUGGCAGGGGAGGAAGUGCUCUUGAAGAAGGGUGGAGGCUCCCACUGUUAAUAAACACCAUUCAUUCCGCUCUUCUGUCAUCUUCUGCCAGGACAGCGAUGGCUGCCGACAUCUCUGAUGCCUCAAAGCUGUAUUUCCAGGACAGUGGUACAAGGUGACCUUAGUCACCUGUCCUGUGGUUCUUGACCAGCAGAUUCAGUCCUCAUCUUACCCUACAGCCGGGACCUUCCUCCCGUGUCCUAUGUUCCAUCUUUGCAAUAUUCAAGCAAAGGUUCCUAGGAGUUGCUAAUGAUCACGUGACCCAUAUGGUCUGAGCUUAUGAGGCAGAUUGGGCUGGUGCCUUCAUCUGAGGUUUCCUGGUUACUGGCUCAUGCAGAUUCCGAGGUAUUUCUGCCACCUUAGAAACAUAUGAAGCAGUGACACUCCCUGCCUCGGCACUUUCUUAAAAAUUACACAUGAUACAGUGAUAGAAGGCAAAAUGACCAAUUUCUCUUUUCUGAUAUAUCAAAGGAAAAAUGGUUUGUGUGCCUCAUUCACUACUUUAGGUGAAAUCUAGAGGGAGGCUGGGGCAGUCAAGAUUUCAAUCUGGGGCAGAUCGUGCCUUGGGCCUAGCAUUGCCUGAGGAGAGAAGAAAGGGACGGGAGGCCGUAUCCACCACACAGCCUCUGCCCUGCUGCCCCAUUUUAUUUACCCUGCCAGUGUCCUGUAUUUAUCACUUUCUGUUUACCGGCUUUUUAGGUGCAGGGAGUUUUCCUUGCCCUCCUCCCUCCUGGUUCUCUGCGCCCGCCCACCCCCUGCACUUCCUUCCGUGUCCAUGGCUUCAGAGAAAGGGGGGAGGGUGCUCAGAUUUUAUGUUUGUUUGUUUUUUUCUCCUUAGCUGUAGGACUUGAUAUUUUCAAUUUUGGAAAAACUAAAAGAUAAAUAAACUGUGGGGUUUUUGUUAGCUUUGUUUUUGUAAACUUGCCUUUUGUAACCAUUCCUUUGCAGUCCGUGAAAUGAACCCUGCUUCUCACCUGGUAAAACACCAAAAUGUUCAAAGAAAAUGCCUUUGUCCAAUUAGUACCAUUCUAGACUUCAUUCUUAGGCUGAGAAGUGUGGAUAUUCCAGCAAACACACCUAGUGUAUGGCAGGUUACUUCACACAGGACUUCACUGUGGUUCCCUCAGACUGCAGAGUGGAGGGCGCUGACCCUUCAGGACAGCACAUACUCCGUCAUCUCCUGGUAAAUGCUGUGGAGGGCCGCGGCUGCCUGCAGGGACACCUUCAGCCUUCCUAUUACCACAUCCUGGUCUCGGGGGCUGACAACUGUGGGAAGGAAAGAAAGGCUCAGGUGGUAGCAGUGUUCAUUUAAACACUCACACCUCUCAUUCUCGUCAUCUCAGAGUGCUGCAGGAAAGGGUGCUUCGAAGCCGGGCGCCACAGUGCCCAUCUGUAGUCCCAGCACUCGGGAACCAAGGCAGGAGGACUGAGAGUUUUGAGACCAGCCUGGCCAUUUAGUAAGACCCUGUCCCAAAAUUUUGAAGAAAGGAAAAGGAGAUGCAGCUCAGUACUAUGACCCUGGGUUUUAAUACCAGGGCAGGAGCAAGGUGUCCCUUAAAGUAGAUUCACAGUGGGGUGAUAGAGGACCGCUAAGAUACACAAGUGGCUUUGAGAAGGGGUCUUACUGCAUAGCUCAAUGUGGCCUGAGUGCAGCAGUCUGCCAAGUGCUAUGGUUACAGAUUGGGCCCCACAGCUGGCAGCAGUUGACUACGUGAUGCCGAGUCCAGAAAAGACAUAUAGCUGCAGGUAAAAUACUUCAAUCCUGUUUGCAUUUUGUCAGUUUUACAGUGAUAAUUAUGUUUUAAAGAUAAAACAGCAAUUACUAUUAGGAUGUUUUUCUUUAGAAAUAAAUGGAAAUUUCAUUACUCACUCUCUAGCUCUUGCUCUACAAUGUCUCUUCCAAAUUCCAGGAUCUGCCACAGUUCAAGAUAUGCAUAUCCUACUUCUUCGCAUUCUUUUGUGUCUUCAUCCAUAGGAUCACUUACUACCGUAAACUUUAAGCUAAAAAUAGAAAAUCCAUUUAAUUAGACACAAUCCCUUGUGCUUUAA